ACGACUCUCGACAACGGAUAUCCCGGCUCUCGCAUCGAUGAAGAACGUAGCGAAAUGCGAUACUUGGUGUGAAUUGCAGAAUCCCGUGAACCAUCGAGUCUUUGAACGCAAGUUGCGCCCGAAGCCAUUAGGCCGAGGGCACGUCUGCCUGGGUGUCACG
This 160-nucleotide ribosomal RNA is filed under the name Pimpinella anisum. RNAcentral's name for it is "5.8S ribosomal RNA". It matches the Rfam family "5.8S ribosomal RNA". Rfam says of the family: 5.8S ribosomal RNA (5.8S rRNA) is a component of the large subunit of the eukaryotic ribosome. It is transcribed by RNA polymerase I as part of the 45S precursor that also contains 18S and 28S rRNA. Functionally, it is thought that 5.8S rRNA may be involved in ribosome translocation. Lineage: Eukaryota; Viridiplantae; Streptophyta; Magnoliopsida; Apiales; Apiaceae. The record is from RNAcentral.